UACGGGGGGGGCAAGCGUUGUUCGGAAUUACUGGGCGUAAAGGGCUCGUAGGCGGCCAACUAAGUCGGACGUGAAAUCCCCAGGCUCAACCUGGGAACUGCGUCCGAUACUGGAUGGCUUGAAUCCGGGAGAGGGAUGCAGAAUUCCAGGUGUAGCGGUGAAAUGCGUAGAUAUCGGAAGGAACAUCAGUGGCGAAAGCGGCUUCCUGGACCAGUACCGACGUUCAGGCACGAAAGCGUGGGGAGCAAACAGG
RNAcentral lists this ribosomal RNA (253 nucleotides) under uncultured bacterium. Its description in RNAcentral is "partial 16S ribosomal RNA". It matches the Rfam family "Bacterial small subunit ribosomal RNA", at positions 524 to 776 of the family's 1533-position model. The record is from RNAcentral.